UACGUAGGGUGCAAGCGUUGUCCGGAAUUAUUGGGCGUAAAGAGCUCGUAGGCGGUCUGUCGCGUCGGAUGUGAAACCUCGGGGCUCAACCCCGAGCCUGCAUUCGAUACGGGCAGACUAGAGUUCGGUAGGGGAGACUGGAAUUCCUGGUGUAGCGGUGAAAUGCGCAGAUAUCAGGAGGAACACCGGUGGCGAAGGCGGGUCUCUGGGCCGAUACUGACGCCGAGGAGCGAAAGCGUGGGGAGCAAACAGG
RNAcentral lists this ribosomal RNA (253 nucleotides) under uncultured bacterium. RNAcentral's name for it is "partial 16S ribosomal RNA". It matches the Rfam family "Bacterial small subunit ribosomal RNA", at positions 524 to 776 of the family's 1533-position model. The record is from RNAcentral.